GACGAACGCUGGCGGCGUGCUUAACACAUGCAAGUCGAACGGAAAGGCCCUGCUUUUGUGGGGUGCUCGAGUGGCGAACGGGUGAGUAACACGUGAGUAACCUGCCCUUGACUUUGGGAUAACUUCAGGAAACUGGGGCUAAUACCGGAUAGGAGCUCCUGCUGCAUGGUGGGGGUUGGAAAGUUUCGGCGGUAGGGGAUGGACUCGCGGCUUAUCAGCUUGUUGGUGGGGUAGUGGCUUACCAAGGCUUUGACGGGUAGCCGGCCUGAGAGGGUGACCGGCGACAUUGGGCCUGAGAGACGGCCCAGACUCCAACGGGAGGCAGCAGGGGGGAAUAUUACACAAUGGGCGGGAGCCUGAUGCGGCAGCGCCGCGUGCGGGAUGACGGCCUUCGGGUUGUAAACCGCUUUCGCCUGUGACGAAGCGUGAGUGACGGUAAUGGGUAAAGAAGCACCGGCUAACUACGUG
Molecule: ribosomal RNA, 468 nt
Filed under: uncultured bacterium
Lineage: Bacteria
Description: partial 16S ribosomal RNA
Rfam family: Bacterial small subunit ribosomal RNA
Source: RNAcentral